CACAUUGAGUCAGUCAAAUCGUAGCCUAUGAGGUCUAUCCGAGGCGUGAUUAUUGCUAGUUGAAAACUUUACCCAAUACCCCGCCUUGACGACUUGAAAAAUAGUCGGCUAUGGCAAUUUUUGACAGUCUCUGAGGAGA
The sequence is a small nuclear RNA, 139 nucleotides long. Its record names the gene U4. It matches the Rfam family "U4 spliceosomal RNA". From Rfam's summary of the family: U4 small nuclear RNA (U4 snRNA) is a component of the major U2-dependent spliceosome. The structure of U4 snRNA from yeast and human has been reported. The record is from Ensembl.